This 253-nucleotide ribosomal RNA is filed under the name uncultured bacterium. RNAcentral describes it as "partial 16S ribosomal RNA". It matches the Rfam family "Bacterial small subunit ribosomal RNA", at positions 524 to 776 of the family's 1533-position model. The record is from RNAcentral.
UACGAAGGGGGCUAGCGUUGCUCGGAAUUACUGGGCGUAAAGCGCACGUAGGCGGCUUUCUAAGUCGGGGGUGAAAUCCUGGAGCUCAACUCCAGAACUGCCUUCGAUACUGGGAAGCUCGAGUCCGGGAGAGGUGAGUGGAACUGCGAGUGUAGAGGUGAAAUUCGUAGAUAUUCGCAAGAACACCAGUGGCGAAGGCGGCUCACUGGCCCGGUACUGACGCUGAGGUGCGAAAGCGUGGGGAGCAAACAGG